Molecule: ribosomal RNA, 253 nt
Filed under: uncultured bacterium
Lineage: Bacteria
Description: partial 16S ribosomal RNA
Rfam family: Bacterial small subunit ribosomal RNA
Source: RNAcentral
UACGUAUGGUGCAAGCGUUAUCCGGAUUUACUGGGUGUAAAGGGAGCGCAGGCGGCACGGCAAGCCUGAUGUGAAAGCCCGCGGCCCAACCGCGGGACUGCAUUGGGAACUACCGGGCUGGAGUGCCGGAGAGGUAGGCGGAAUUCCUAGUGUAGCGGUGAAAUGCGUAGAUAUUAGGAGGAACACCAGUGGCGAAGGCAGCCUACUGGACGGUGUCUGACGCUGAGGCUCGAAAGCGUGGGGAGCAAACAGG